AUUGAACGCUGGCGGCAUGCCUUACACAUGCAAGUCGAACGGCAGCACGGGAGCAAUCCUGGUGGCGAGUGGCGAACGGGUGAGUAAUAUAUCGGAACGUGCCCGGUCGUGGGGAUAACGUAGCGAAAGCUACGCUAAUACCGCAUACGAUCUACGGAUGAAAGCGGGGGAUCGCAAGACCUCGCGCGAUUGGAGCGGCCGAUAUCAGAUUAGGUAGUUGGUGAGGUAAAGGCUCACCAAGCCGACGAUCUGUAGCUGGUCUGAGAGGACGACCAGCCACACUGGGACUGAGACACGGCCCAGACUCCUACGGGAGGCAGCAGUGGGGAAUAUUGGACAAUGGGCGAAAGCCUGAUCCAGCCAUGCCGCGUGUGUGAAGAAGGCCUCGGUUGUAAGACGACUUCUAGCGAGAGGAAGAGU
RNAcentral lists this ribosomal RNA (420 nucleotides) under uncultured bacterium. RNAcentral's name for it is "bacterial SSU rRNA". It matches the Rfam family "Bacterial small subunit ribosomal RNA", at positions 29 to 453 of the family's 1533-position model. The record is from RNAcentral.